CACAGCAUCGUCAUUUGCUAAGCUCUAGUCACUAGGGGGAGCUCUGGCCCUCAAAAAGCAUUUGGCUUCAGCCUGUAAUCAGUCUGUAACCUAAGAGUGCGUGACAAGACUGCUCAUAACGUGACUCCGUCUUUUCAAUGCAGGCAACUACACAGGGAACAAUGAAACCAAAGUAUGGGACACAAGGACAACACUGUCUAGCUAAUGAACGAUCCCAGCUCCCUCACAAGGUAGGUAAAAAUAAUUGCCCCCAUUUUAAACAGAGACGAAAGUCGCCUACACUUAAUUUUCAGGUAUGUGCAGAAAUGAUUUCCUGAAAAUGGACGGACUGCCGAGUCAGCUCAAUGAGAGGCACCCAGUGGGCCAGCUGCAGAGCUCAGAUUAGAACUCAGGAGCACCUGGCUCCUCAUCCCAGGAGCAGACCGCUAAGCAGUGUCGCCUCUCUGGUCAGUCUCUCUCUUCGUAAAUCAUCCACACAGAAGGAGGGAACAAAGAGCGAGACCUUGUC
This 508-nucleotide long non-coding RNA is filed under the name Chrysemys picta bellii (western painted turtle). RNAcentral's name for it is "lncRNA (ENSCPBG00000024693.1)". Lineage: Eukaryota; Metazoa; Chordata; Testudines; Emydidae. The record is from RNAcentral.